UACGUAGGGUGCGAGCGUUGUCCGGAAUUAUUGGGCGUAAAGGGCUCGUAGGCGGUUUGUCGCGUCGGGAGUGAAAACCCAGGGCUUAACCCUGGGCUGGCUUCCGAUACGGGCAGACUAGAGGUAUGCAGGGGAGAACGGAAUUCCUGGUGUAGCGGUGAAAUGCGCAGAUAUCAGGAGGAACACCAAUUGCGAAGGCAGCUCGCUGGAACGUAACUGACGCUGAGACGCGAAAGCGUGGGGAGCAAACAGG
Molecule: ribosomal RNA, 253 nt
Filed under: uncultured bacterium
Lineage: Bacteria
Description: partial 16S ribosomal RNA
Rfam family: Bacterial small subunit ribosomal RNA
Source: RNAcentral